AAACCAACAGGGAUUCCCUUAGUAGCGGCGAGUGAAGCGGCAAAAGCUCAAAUUUGAAAUCUGGCGCCUUCGGUGUCCGAGUUGUAAUUUGAAGAUUGUAACCUUGGGGUUGGCUCUUGUCUAUGUUUCUUGGAACAGGACGUCACAGAGGGUGAGAAUCCCGUGCGAUGAGAUGCCCAAUCCUAUGUAAGGUGCUUUCGAAGAGUCGAGUUGUUUGGGAAUGCAGCUCUAAGUGGGUGGUAAAUUCCAUCUAAAGCUAAAUAUUGGCGAGAGACCGAUAGCGAACAAGUACAGUGAUGGAAAGAUGAAAAGAACUUUGAAAAGAGAGUGAAAAAGUACGUGAAAUUGUUGAAAGGGAAGGGUUUGAGAUCAGACUCGAUAUUUUGUGAGCCUUGCCUUCGUGGCGGGGUGACCCGCAGCUUAUCGGGCCAGCAUCGGUUUGGGCGGUAGGAUAAUGGCGUAGGAAUGUGACUUUACUUCGGUGAAGUGUUAUAGCCUGCGUUGAUGCUGCCUGCCUAGACCGAGGACUGCGAUUUUAUCAAGGAUGCUGGCAUAAUGAUCCCAACCGCCCGUCUG
Molecule: ribosomal RNA, 576 nt
Filed under: Meyerozyma carpophila
Lineage: Eukaryota; Fungi; Ascomycota; Pichiomycetes; Serinales; Debaryomycetaceae
Description: eukaryotic LSU rRNA
Rfam family: Eukaryotic large subunit ribosomal RNA
Source: RNAcentral